Molecule: ribosomal RNA, 235 nt
Filed under: uncultured bacterium
Lineage: Bacteria
Description: partial 16S ribosomal RNA
Rfam family: Bacterial small subunit ribosomal RNA
Source: RNAcentral
UGGACGGGUGAGUAACGCGUGGGUAACCUGCCUCACACUGGGGGACAACAGUUAGAAAUGACUGCUAAUACCGCAUAAGCGCACAGGAUCGCAUGGUCCGGUGUGAAAAACUCCGGUGGUGUGAGAUGGACCCGCGUUUGAUUAGCUAGUUGGUGGGGUAACGGCCUACCAAGGCGACGAUCAAUAGCCGACCUGAGAGGGUGACCGGCCACAUUGGGACUGAGACACGGCCCAA